Molecule: ribosomal RNA, 755 nt
Filed under: uncultured Halomonas sp.
Lineage: Bacteria; Pseudomonadati; Pseudomonadota; Gammaproteobacteria; Oceanospirillales; Halomonadaceae
Description: bacterial SSU rRNA
Rfam family: Bacterial small subunit ribosomal RNA
Source: RNAcentral
AUUGAACGCUGGCGGCAGGCCUAACACAUGCAAGUCGAGCGGAAACGAUGGAAGCUUGCUUCCAGGCGUCGAGCGGCGGACGGGUGAGUAAUGCAUGGGAAUCUGCCCGAUAGUGGGGGAUAACCUGGGGAAACCCAGGCUAAUACCGCAUACGUCCUACGGGAGAAAGCAGGGGAUCUUCGGACCUUGCGCUAUCGGAUGAGCCCAUGUCGGAUUAGCUUGUUGGUGAGGUAAUGGCUCACCAAGGCGACGAUCCGUAGCUGGUCUGAGAGGAUGAUCAGCCACAUCGGGACUGAGACACGGCCCGAACUCCUACGGGAGGCAGCAGUGGGGAAUAUUGGACAAUGGGCGAAAGCCUGAUCCAGCCAUGCCGCGUGUGUGAAGAAGGCCCUCGGGUUGUAAAGCACUUUCAGUGGGGAAGAAAGCCUCGGGAUUAAUACUUCCGAGGAAGGACAUCACCCACAGAAGAAGCACCGGCUAACUCCGUGCCAGCAGCCGCGGUAAUACGGAGGGUGCGAGCGUUAAUCGGAAUUACUGGGCGUAAAGCGCGCGUAGGCGGUCUGAUCAGCCGGUUGUGAAAGCCCCGGGCUCAACCUGGGAACGGCAUCCGGAACUGUCAGGCUAGAGUGCAGGAGAGGAAGGUAGAAUUCCCGGUGUAGCGGUGAAAUGCGUAGAGAUCGGGAGGAAUACCAGUGGCGAAGGCGGCCUUCUGGACUGACACUGACGCUGAGGUGCGAAAGCGUGGGUAGCAAACA